This 779-nucleotide ribosomal RNA is filed under the name uncultured Neocallimastigales. Its description in RNAcentral is "partial large subunit ribosomal RNA". It matches the Rfam family "Eukaryotic large subunit ribosomal RNA", at positions 26 to 614 of the family's 3401-position model. The record is from RNAcentral. Lineage: Eukaryota; Fungi; Neocallimastigomycota; Neocallimastigomycetes; Neocallimastigales.
CGUCUAUAUACGUAUAGCAUAUCAAUAAGCGGAGGAAAAGAAACUAACAAGGAUUCCCUUAGUAACGGCGAGUGAAGCGGGAAGAGCUCAAAUUUGAAAUCUUCAAGGUUCUACCUUGAUGAAUUGUAGUUUAAAGAAGUGUUUUCUGUUAGAGGAGCUAGCAAAAGUUCCUUGGAAUGGGACAUCAUAGAGGGUGAGAAUCCCGUAUUUGGUUAUUCUUUCUAGCUUUGUGAUACACUUUCAAGGAGUCGGAUUGUUUGGGAAUGCAGUCCAAAAUGGGUGGUAAAUUUCAUCUAAAGCUAAAUAUUGGCGAGAGACCGAUAGCGAACAAGUACCGUGAGGGAAAGAUGAAAAGAACUUUGAAAAGAGAGUUAAACAGUACGUGAAAUUGUCAAAAGGGAAGCGUUUGACACCAGUGUUGUUUUUUCCGAAAAUCAAUUAAGAACGUGGCUUGAUUUUGUGUUGUAUUGACCUUAUCAGCUUUCUUCACUCUUUUUCGAGUCUUUCUUAAUGCACUUUUCGGUUAACAAGUCAACAUCAAUUUCUUUUGUUGUAAAAGGGUAUUUGGAAGGUGGCUUUCUUUUCGGAGAAAGUGUUUAUAGCCUUAUACCUCUACAAUCGGAGAGAUUGAGGUCUGCAGCGUAGAUCCUUCGGGGCUAGAUACACUUGUGCUAAGUUAUAGCUUUUCAUAGACAACAUGUUGACUAUGUUUAGUCAUGUAGCUUACUCGCUUGUGCUAUUUUACCUACGCUUAGGAUGUUGAGUCAUCACACAUCUCU